Molecule: long non-coding RNA, 1538 nt
Filed under: Junco hyemalis (dark-eyed junco)
Lineage: Eukaryota; Metazoa; Chordata; Aves; Passeriformes; Passerellidae
Description: lncRNA (ENSJHYG00000007018.1)
Source: RNAcentral
AGGGAUCUCAGCCCCCUGUGAUUGAGCCACUCUGCUUUGCUGACUCUCCCGAAGUGCCAGAAAGUGUUUACAGCACCAGCGAUGUCCAGCUGAAUAUCAGAGAAUCUAAUAGGGAAAUGAUUUUGGAAAAAACACUGGAAUGGAAAAACCCAUGGAAAUGGAUACUUCUGGAUGUGUUUUGGAUGCUGUUGACCUAACUGGGACCUUUCAGCUGCAUGGACUCUUGUACCUCCCUCAUCACCAACAUUUGUGAGGGCAGGAGUCCAGAGUGUGACCCAGGGCUACCUCAGGUUCCAUUGGAGCCCUCUGUCCUUUGGCAGUGGGCUGUCCCUGUGUCCGUGUGUCUGUGCAGAGGUGGAGGGCACCCACUCCUCCCUCCAAUGGCACAGCAUGCAGCUCUAUUGCACCAGCACUGCACCACAGCCCUGCAGGAACUCUGCUCCAAGGCACGGCUCAGAGGUUCAGGGAUCAGGAGAGAUCCCUGGGAACUGGAACUGACCCCAGCCUUACCCGUGUUCCUCUCUGGCUUUACAUAAAGCUGGCUUGACCCUCAGCUAGCACAAACAAGAAAGACAAGGAGGGAUAAUUGCACUGUAAAUGCCCUGCAAAUCACGGCAGGGAGGAGUUCCAUCAGGAUAACAAACUGCAGUCUGUGGAAAGCCAUUUGUUGCAGGGGCCAGCAGGCUGGGAACGCGUGCCAAGCAGUGUGUGUGCUGUUCUGAGGUAACCUGGAGCCAAGGUGUCCCACAAAGAUCCACCAGCACCAGCAGCAUGAGCUCCAGCCUCACAUGGCCCCUUCCAGCUUGCCCACGCCAGGGCCUCGUGUUCCCACAGCAGAUGCCCGAGCCUUGUGUUUGCUGGCUACACAGAUACUCCGAGGGAGGACUUAGGAACCACCAAAGGCCAUGGUGUUUCCAGGGGCAUUGGAAGGCUUCCCUCAGGCUGGAGAUGGCCAGGCUGGUCCAUCCCUGGGCAGGGAAUCUGGUCCAGCCCAGCUGGGUGAUGUGGGAUGGGGCUGCUGGAGGAGGAAGAGCAUCACACCACUGCGAGCUCACAGCCCCCUCCACUCUGGGCCUUGCUCUAACCAGAGAGAAAUCCUGACAGAAACCUAUUGGAAAAAACCCACAUCCUGGCAGAACAACGUGGCUGCUUUAUGCUGUGGCAACAAACGUGACCAGAUUUUCCCAGAGCAAGGAGUCUGUCAGGGAUUGGGACAAUGACUACAGCCUGGUGUCACACACUGUCCUGCCUGGACAUUCCGACCUUCUGCUGGAAAUGAGGCCACUCCAGUGGAAGAAAGAUAACGUGUCUCUAAACUAUGAGUUGUUGUGUGAUGGGUUUGUGGUUUUUUUUAUUCAAUUCAGCUAUUUAUAAAUGUGAUAGACCUCUGUUUCUCCUGCCUCUUUCAGCACCCCACUGGAGAAUGUGUGAAAAGCUCUAAUUUCCCUUGAGGAAAAGAGUAUCUUGUGAUUUCAGUGAAAAGCUGUGUUCACACUAUGGUCAAUAAAUUCCUAUAGACAAUUUUGCCCCUUUGGAAU